ACUUGACUAGCUGAGAGGAGGUGCAUGGCCGUCGUCAGUUCGUACUGUGAAGCAUCCUGUUAAGUCAGGCAACGAGCGAGACCCACGCCAACAGUUGCCAGCUCGUCCUCCCGGGGAUGGUGGGGACACUGUUGGGACCGCCUCUGCUAAAGAGGAGGAAGGAAUGGGCAACGGUAGGUCAGCAUGCCCCGAAUUAUCUGGGCUACACGCGGGCUACAAUGGGUGGGACAAUGGGUAUCGACACCGAAAGGUGAAGGCAAUCUCCUAAACCCAUCCGUAGUUCGGAUUGUGGGCUGCAACUCGCCCACAUGGAGCUGGAAUCUGUAGUAAUCGUGUCUCAAAAUGGCACGGUGAGUAUGUCCCUGCUCCUU
This 371-nucleotide ribosomal RNA is filed under the name uncultured Methanomicrobiales archaeon. Its description in RNAcentral is "bacterial SSU rRNA". It matches the Rfam family "Archaeal small subunit ribosomal RNA", at positions 970 to 1338 of the family's 1478-position model. Lineage: Archaea; Methanobacteriati; Methanobacteriota; Methanomicrobia; Methanomicrobiales. The record is from RNAcentral.